This 277-nucleotide ribosomal RNA is filed under the name uncultured bacterium. RNAcentral's name for it is "partial 16S ribosomal RNA". It matches the Rfam family "Bacterial small subunit ribosomal RNA", at positions 1226 to 1502 of the family's 1533-position model. The record is from RNAcentral.
UACAAUGGCGCGUACAGAGGGCAGCGAACUUGCGAGAGUAAGCGAAUCCCAAAAAGCGCGUCGUAGUCCGGAUCGGAGUCUGCAACUCGACUCCGUGAAGUCGGAAUCGCUAGUAAUCGCAAAUCAGAAUGUUGCGGUGAAUACGUUCCCGGGCCUUGUACACACCGCCCGUCACACCAUGGGAGUGGGUUGCACCAGAAGUAGUUAGUCUAACCUUCGGGAGGACGAUUACCACGGUGUGAUUCAUGACUGGGGUGAAGUCGUAACAAGGUAACCA